GGAAGGGCUGGGGCUGCGGUUCUAGGAGGUGGAUCCUCCCAGGAGCCCACCCCUCAGGGUUGUUGGGUCCCAUUUUCCAAUGUUUGGAAAGGGAAGGGAUUUUGGGGGCAGAGACCUCUCCUGGGUCCUGCUCCAGGAGCUACUCACUGCAGCUUCUCUGAAAGGAUGCGACCGGGGAAGGACAGGGAAGAGCGUCGGUGUCUCCAGUCGCCACUUCCUGUGGGGAGAACUGCUUCCUGUCUUUCCAGUUCUCCGGCAGAGGCAGUGACAGCCCAAGUCUCCUUGGGCUCCGCUCUGGGCAACGCCUCGCCUCGAGGAAUCAGGAAACUACCUCGUCAGCCUUUGCCAAGACAGUCUGAUUCUUCAUCAUCAUCAUCCUCCUCAUCCUGUACAGUCUUUAUUGAGCACCUACUGUGUACUCUAUGUACACCUACUGUGUACUCUAUGCCCAAAACCCUGGACAAGUUAGACCAGGGAGAACCAAAGAGAAGUGUCAGGUCUUUCCAGGACGCGCCCCGUUCCCUGGUUCUGUCAGGAAGGAACAGGCCCUCUGCCGGGUGGCCAUUUGUACACCAGAAAAAAUGCUCCUCAUCAGAAUAGGACUGGGAUUUGGGGUGGUCUCUCCAUUACAGUAGAAAUCAGAGCCAGAGGUGCGCCCCAGAGGAUCACCAGGUAGGAGUGGUCCCCCCACAUGGCAGGGACCAGAGGCUGUGGGGCCGUGACUGCUCACUGCCAUGGCAGGAGAUGGUCACUGCGCACGGCAGAGGCCCGCUCGUGCCCACGUCACACCAGGCAGUUCUGGUGGCGCUCUCUCUCCCUGGGUGUGCCACCUUUCUGUCACUGUGACAAAGUACCCGAGAUAAACAGGAGGGGAAGGUCGGUUGUCCCCUCACCACCCCGUCCACGCUGCUGAAGAUGGAGCCCAGGGCUUGGGCUCGGAGGCCUCAGUCCGUGGUGGAUCCGUCUGUUUGCUCAGCCCAAAGAGAGAAAGCUGCUCCCCCCGGGGGGAUGGGGAGACAGAAGGUUCAGGAAGGGCCCCGGGAUCCCCUGGAGGGCAGGCGCCCAGAGGCCUGACUUCCUCCUGCCAGGCCCCAGCUCCUGAAGGCUCCAUCACCACCUCRCGGCACCGUCAGCUGAGGACUAAGCCCUCAAGGCAUGGCCUUUGGGGAACCUUUAAAAUCCAAACUGUUGCUAAAGCUGCACAAACAAGCAAAUAAACACCCCCAGAAAGUAUACA
This 1237-nucleotide long non-coding RNA is filed under the name Urocitellus parryii (Arctic ground squirrel). RNAcentral describes it as "lncRNA (ENSUPAG00010004148.1)". Lineage: Eukaryota; Metazoa; Chordata; Mammalia; Rodentia; Sciuridae. The record is from RNAcentral.